Molecule: non-coding RNA, 1760 nt
Organism: Paramisgurnus dabryanus
Lineage: Eukaryota; Metazoa; Chordata; Actinopteri; Cypriniformes; Cobitidae
Source: RefSeq, a predicted model, not a curated record
AAUGUUUUUGUCACAAGGUGACGAUCUUUUGGGCGGAACCAAAAGUCGGGAAACUUUGGUUCCGCCCGGAUGUUUCCGCCCAGACCGAAGAACGGAAACACCGGACAUCCGGCAGAUUCGCGGAGGCUGUAAUCGGCCGAUUGGGCACAGCUGUGCCUAGUUGAAGAGAUCGCCGGGCAAUUGGAUGACUGAAGUACAGAGAGGAGUAUUUAAAGCACAGUUAAAUGACAGUUCGGGAGUUCGGGCACGAGAGGGGGAUUGACACGGGGAGAGCUCCUCUGCUUAGGGCAGGAGAGGUAAAUACGUACCUUUUGAAGAGCCCGCAGGCUCUGUUGAUCCGGGCUGCGCUAGAAGCGCGCGGAAAGAAGACAGGAGCUGCCUGGGGUGAAAGAAAGGCGAUACGUGAGUGGAGAAAAGGAGCACCCCGAAGAGAGCAUUGUGCUGUCAAGCCUGUGCUUAGUGUGUGCUGGGAAACGGAGCUGUGCUCAUUGUUGGACGUGGUGGUUGUUUGUGUUUCUCUCUCUCUCUCUCUCUCGUCGUAGUCUUUAUUGUGGACCUGCUGGAGUAAACAGGAAAACCCUAUGGGUAAGAAGGAACUUUGUGCUAACCAAUACUGAAGGAGUAAAGCAGGAAGAAAAUUGACCUUCUGGUACAACGUAAACAAAGGCUACCCGCCGUGAGUAUACCCUUUUUGUGUGGAGUAACUGGCAAAAAUUAACUUGUGUAACCAUUGGAAACCCCCAGGAGAAGGAGGGCGGCCCUACCCCUACAAGAGUGUGGUGGGCGAGCCGUGAGAAGUCCAACUUCAAACAGCCACCGCAACGAGACUUAUUGUGGUCGUAUUUCCCAUCGCCUUAUCAUAGCCCAAGCGCAGUGGAGGACACCGGGCGCUUCCCCUGUUGUGGUGCACUUAUAGUGUGGUGAGUGAGAUUGUGUAAUAAAUCUUUUUCACGUUUGGAGUGGUGCUGUGUAUUGCUGUGGGUUGCUGUGUGUCUUGUAGACGAAGCCCCGCAUCAUCCAUUUUCUUCCACUGGGCAGAGGACGGAGAGGCCAACGACUGCAGAAAUCACUGUUACUAUAAGUAGUGUGCUGUUCGGAGUACGAAGGGACGCAGACAAAGAGCUGUCCGUGACCGUGAGUAAACCAUUGGAAGUAUUCGUGGUGUAAACUUACCUGUGUCUGUUUUGUCGCAGAGUCAGAGGCGAAAGGGUCCGCCGCCCCCGCGGUCUCUACAAAGGGGCGCCCCUGUCCAGGAUUCGAUCGGCCUAUGGGCAUUGGAGAUAGGGCAGCGCUCGACCCGGUGAGGUGGUGUGUGACCUUCGCCCCUCUGCUGACUUACGGAGGAGAACCAUACCUACCCAGAAAGCUGUAAACAGCAGAGCCGCGGCCACCUGUGGAGAGAGAGCAGAACGAAAGUGAAUCAUUGAAGAGCAGACUGUGAACGUGAUACCUACCCAGAAAGCUGUAAACAGCAGAGCCGCGGCCACCUGUGGAGAGAGAGCAGAACGAAAGUGAAUCAUUGAGGAGCAGACUGUGAACGUGAUACCUACCCAGAAAGCUGUAAACAGCAGAGCCGUGGCCUCCUGUGGAGAGAAUGGAAAACGAGAAGGAACAGGAGGAAAAUGGACUGUGUGAAGAUACAGUGGUGGUGGAGGAGAGCCUAGAGUGGCCAUUGUUUUAAGCCCCCCCGUUUUCCCUUCCCUAUUUAAUAAUUUUAACUAAUUUAAUAAAGGAUAUUUUAAUAUUAUGCUUACCUUGUG